CCCUUAGAUGCUCUGGGCCGCACGCGCGCUACACUGGUCGAUGCAACGAGUUUCUUUCCUUGGCCGACAGGCCUGGGCAAUCUUUGAACAUCGAUCGUGAUCGGGAUAGAUUCUUGUAAUUUUUGAUCUUAAACGAGGAAUUCCUAGUAAACGCAAGUCAUCAGCUUGCAUUGAUUACGUCCCUGCCCUUUGUACACACCGCCCGUCGCACCUACCGAUUGAACGUUUUAGUGAGGUACUCGGACUGAGCCUCAGAAGAUUCACGUCUUUUGUGCUGCUCGGGAAGAUUCCCAAACUUGAGCGUUUAGAGGAAGUAAAAGUCGUAACA
Molecule: ribosomal RNA, 328 nt
Filed under: uncultured eukaryote
Lineage: Eukaryota
Description: partial 18S ribosomal RNA
Rfam family: Eukaryotic small subunit ribosomal RNA
Source: RNAcentral